This 670-nucleotide long non-coding RNA is filed under the name Homo sapiens (human). RNAcentral's name for it is "CYP1B1 antisense RNA 1". Lineage: Eukaryota; Metazoa; Chordata; Mammalia; Primates; Hominidae. The record is from RNAcentral.
GAUCCAGCAUGCAUAUGAGCUCUAAGGCAGGACAGAGUGGCACUUUGGAGAACCCUCCACCGUCCUUAAACCAGCCCCACUUCCCACUUCCAGUUCUACCCACUCUUGGCUUAGGAAAUUUUCUCCUCUUUUUGCCCUGAAAAUUAGCCUUGGUGGCUGAGUUUUGCUUUUCAGGUUCUCAUUGCUAGUGCUUAUUUUGACGCUUAGUGACCAUCUCAUUCCUACUAUUGGCCCGCAGUAGGGAAUCAGACCUUUAGUAGACACGGAGCUCUUCAAAUACAGAGUGAACUUGGGGCAUCUGAUCAUGUGGGUCAAGAUGAACACUACAGAAUACAACUGAGAGCCACAUGCAGCACUGAGAAGUGAAGGAAUAUUUGGGAGGAUCAGAAGCUUGGUCCUGAUUUUGCCAUCAACAGGAACUUGAUGACUUCAAGGGAGUCCCCAAACCCUGGGUUUCUGUUUUCUCAACUCUAACAUGAGGGGCUAGAUGCAUCUGGUUUAGUUAGUCUCCAUGAUGGUUUAGUUCGUCUCCAUGAUCCUGUGAAUUUCAGAUGUUGAAAAUCUUCGGAAAAGCCCUGAAAGAUGAACAGUGGUCUCAAAUAGUCAAGACCCCCUGCUGGGAGGAGCUUCUAUCCUGCUCUGUGGAAGAAAUGGGCAUGCCAGAUGCCUG